UCAUCUGGCCUCCUGUUCCAGUGCUUCCAGGGGAUCCACGUUCAGAAGCUGACUCUGCAGGCAAGACCGACGUUAUUUUCCUGGUGGCUGUGUUCAAAACCACCCAAAGGGUUUGAGAAAUACUUUAAGAGGAGUGGAAGGAACACAAACUGAGAAACAUCAACAGCACCAAAAAAAGAGACUGGUGAACUAGAGAAUGCUGAGUCUGGAGGAGACGGAGGCAGGAGAGGAGGGAAGCAGGAUAACGUUGCCUGGUGGAGGCGGAUGCAGAAGGGGGGACUUCCCCUGGGAUGACGAGGAUUUCCGCAGUCUGGCCCUUUUGGGGGCAGGCGUUGCCAUGGGAUUUUUCUACCUCUAUUUUCGAGAUCCUGGAAGAGAAAUCACGUGGAAGCACUUUGUACAGUAUUACCUGGCCAGAGGUCUGGUGGACCGGCUGGAAGUCGUGAACAAACAAUCUGUGCGUGUUAUUCCUGCCCCUGGGACCUCUUCUGAAACGUAGCUGGGUGCGAAGAAUCAAAUUGGAAAUUAUGGAAUUUGUGAAUUUCCUGAAGAAUCCCAAGCAGUAUCAGGACUUAGGAGCAAAAAUUCCAAAGGGAGCCAUGCUCACUGGUCCUCCUGGUACCGGCAAGACCCUUCUUGCCAAAGCAACUGCAGGGGAGGCCACUGUGCCCUUCAUCACUGUGAACGGGUCUGAGUUCCUGGAAAUGUUUAUUGGCGUUGGGCCAGCAAGGGGUUCAACUCUGCCACCAACGUCGUGGUGUUGGCUGGCACCAACCGCCCUGACGUCCUGGACCCGGCCCUCAUGCGGCCUGGCCGGUUUCAUCGCCAGAUUUACACUGGUCCCCCUUACAUUAAAGGCAGGUCCUCCAUCUUUAAGGUCCACCUGCGCCCACUGAAGCUGGACAAGAGCCUCAAUAAGGACACCCUGGCGAGGAAGCUGGCAGUGCUCACCCCAGGCUUCCCUGGUGUCCAUCAUACCCCAGGGCAAGGGGCUCCGCUACGCACAGUACCUGCCCCGGGAGCAGCAGCUCUACACCCAGGAGCAGCUCUUCGACCGCACGUGCAUGAUGCUCGGGGGCCGGGUAGCCGAGCAGCUGUGCUCCGGGUAGAUCACUAUGGGGGCUCAGGACGACCUGAGGAAGGUCACCCAGAGUGCCUACGCCCAGGUUGUGCAGUUUGGGGUGAGUGAGAAGCUGGGCCAGGUGUCCUUCGACUUUUCCCGACACGGCAAGACCCUGGUGGAGAAGCUGUACGGCGAGGCAAGCGCCCAGCUCCUUGAUGACGAGGUCCGGCACCUCGUCAGUGCCACCUACAGGUGCACCCUGGACCUGCUGACACGGUGCCGGGAGCAUGUGGAGAAGGUGGGCCAGCGGCUCCUGGAGAAGGAAGUACUGGAGAAGGCAGACAUGGUGGAGCUGCUGGGCCCCCGGCCCUUCUCGGAGAAGUCUACCUAUGAGGAGUUUGUA
Long non-coding RNA from Homo sapiens (human), 1466 nucleotides. Ensembl annotates it as AFG3 like matrix AAA peptidase subunit 1, pseudogene. Its record names the gene AFG3L1P. The record is from Ensembl. NCBI's taxonomy places the organism in Eukaryota, Metazoa, Chordata, Mammalia, Primates, Hominidae.